This 440-nucleotide ribosomal RNA is filed under the name uncultured bacterium. RNAcentral's name for it is "bacterial SSU rRNA". It matches the Rfam family "Bacterial small subunit ribosomal RNA", at positions 29 to 507 of the family's 1533-position model. The record is from RNAcentral.
AACGAACGCUGGCGGCGCGCUUAACACAUGCAAGUCGAACGCAUGCUUGAUCUUCGGGUUGGGCAUGAGUGGCGGACGGGUGAGUAACGCGUGGGAACCUGCCCUGAGGUUCGGGACAACCGUGGGAAACUGCGGCUAAUACCGGAUAUCUCCUUUGGGAGAAAGACUUGUCGCCUUGGGAGGGGCCCGCGUCGGAUUAGCUUGUUGGUGGGUAACGGCCUACCAAGGCAUCGAUCCGUAGCUGGUCUGAGAGGAUGAUCAGCCACACUGGGACUGAGACACGGCCCAGACUCCUACGGGAGGCAGCAGUGGGGAAUCUUGGACAAUGGGGGCAACCCUGAUCCAGCGACGCCGCGUGGGUGACGAAGGCCUUCGGUUGUAAAGCCUUUCUCGGGAAGAUGAUGACGGUACCCGAGGAAUAAGCACCGGCUAACUCCGUG